RNAcentral lists this long non-coding RNA (1398 nucleotides) under Salmo salar (Atlantic salmon). Its description in RNAcentral is "lncRNA (ENSSSAG00000103610.1)". Lineage: Eukaryota; Metazoa; Chordata; Actinopteri; Salmoniformes; Salmonidae. The record is from RNAcentral.
CACAGGCCAACUCUAAGGCAGGCUGCAAACAGAGACAGGCAGCACAGCUGUCAAGAGGAAAUCCUCUCCUCCCUCCCUCUCUCUCUACACGGCAGGACUGCAUCAGAGCUUCCUCACUCAUUAGUCUACCUGAACCUGUCGGAUUCACCUGCCUCGGAUGAGGACUAAUAACUAGCUAGAGGAGUAUUAUUCAUUUGCAUGGUCAUUCAGCACAGCAGCCUAGUUCAUGGAGGAGACAAUGAGCAGCGAAAGAAAUCAAAGCAGCUGUGUAGUUCUGAGGACAGUACAGCCAACAUAUUUUUCUCAAAUCAAUCACAACAUGCGUUGACAGCGUGAGCUGGGCCCUGGCAACUACGGUCCUCAUCCUGUUCUCCUAUGUUAAUAUGGAGGACAGGAGAGAUGGUUUGUCAAGGAGUCCCCGGACUAAAAGACAGGCUGAUACAGCUGGAGGACAGGAGAGAUGGUUUGUCAAGGAGUCCCCUGACUAAAAGACAGGCUGAUACAGAUGUCUGAACUGAGAGAGACCUUGCACUGAGCUUUAAAAUUAUACAAGACACAUAUAUUACUUUUCGUCGUCUUUUUGUUAUUAUUGAAUGGUAGGGGGGCGGGGACUGUCUUAUAUGGGACACCAUAUGAAGGGAUGACGACUAACAUGUACCCUCAGACAAAAUGCUGAUAGCUACAGUAUCUAUAUCGGAUGUGAAUGACAAUAGAAGAUGAAAGACAAGUGUCAUAUUUGCACAUUGUUAUAUUAGCAGAACACUGCUUCUACAGUAUUAUGUGAAGGAUGGUUUAUUCUACUUGGAACUUACACUUGAAAGUUAUCAGAACACUUUGUUUGGAAUAUCAGCACAAGUUCAGCAAUUGCACUCUUCUCAUACUGCUCUGUAGGCUACUGACCAAUUCAAAGCUUCCUCCUGGAGGACAUAUCCAGGAUGGAGUGUCAUGCACUCCACCCCUCCUGCCACCUGACUGCAUCUGUCCAUAACCUGUAAUACAUGACAUAGAUGGAAGGGACUUCAUCAGCCACUGGAGACUGUAAGACAGAACCUCACCCUGAGAGCUGUGCAUGUCAGUGUGUAGUUAGACAGCCAAACCCUUAGAAUAGACCUUAGAAAUAGAAUAUAAUGCCAUGAUAGUUCUGGCACAGCUGAAGUUGUACCAAAGAUGUUUGUGCUCCUUGUUCUAUCUGGGCUUAUUUUCAUUUGCUAGGUGAAGUGUAGGCAUACUGUCUUUAUAAGCACAUCAAUAUAAUAGCCUAUUUACAGUAGAAAAUGUUUUGUCUUUGUAACACAAACACACUCAUGGAUUUCUGUUGUUGUUGAUAAAUGUAUCUGCACAUAACCCUGAUAAGUCAGAAUUGUAAUAAUUAUUUUUUGCAAAAAGAGUGCACUGGGC